AGACCUCUAAUCGAAA
RNAcentral lists this ribosomal RNA (16 nucleotides) under Pterobryon densum. Its description in RNAcentral is "partial 26S ribosomal RNA". The record is from RNAcentral. Lineage: Eukaryota; Viridiplantae; Streptophyta; Bryopsida; Hypnales; Pterobryaceae.